AGUGAACGCUGGCGGUAGGCCUAACACAUGCAAGUCGAACGGCAGCACAGUAAGAGCUUGCUCUUACGGGUGGCGAGUGGCGGACGGGUGAGGAAUACAUCGGAAUCUACUUUUUCGUGGGGGAUAACGUAGGGAAACUUACGCUAAUACCGCAUACGACCUACGGGUGAAAGCAGGGGAUCUUCGGACCUUGCGCGAUUGAAUGAGCCGAUGUCGGAUUAGCUAGUUGGCGGGGUAAAGGCCCACCAAGGCGACGAUCCGUAGCUGGUCUGAGAGGAUGAUCAGCCACACUGGAACUGAGACACGGUCCAGACUCCUACGGGAGGCAGCAGUGGGGAAUAUUGGACAAUGGGCGCAAGCCUGACCCAGCCAUACCGCGUGGGUGAAGAAGGCCUUCGGGUUGUAAAGCCCUUUUGUUGGGAAAGAAAAGCAGCAGGUUAAUACCCCGCUGUUCUGACGGUACCCAAGGAAUAAGCACCGGCUAACUUCGUG
Molecule: ribosomal RNA, 492 nt
Filed under: uncultured bacterium
Lineage: Bacteria
Description: partial 16S ribosomal RNA
Rfam family: Bacterial small subunit ribosomal RNA
Source: RNAcentral